Molecule: ribosomal RNA, 587 nt
Filed under: Ustilago longissima var. macrospora
Lineage: Eukaryota; Fungi; Basidiomycota; Ustilaginomycetes; Ustilaginales; Ustilaginaceae
Description: eukaryotic LSU rRNA
Rfam family: 5.8S ribosomal RNA (bases 179-333)
Source: RNAcentral
AACUAAACUUGAGCUACCCAAUUUCAACACGGUUGCAUCAGUUGGCUGUCAAACAGUGCCUCGGCGCUGGGAGGCGGUCGACACACAACACAAACACUUUUGAUGAUCUAGGAUUUUGAAUGAAGUUCAUUUUUAGGAUGGAACCGACUGGUAAUGCGGUCGUCUAAAUCUAAAAAACAACUUUUGGCAACGGAUCUCUUGGUUCUCCCAUCGAUGAAGAACGCAGCGAAUUGCGAUAAGUAAUGUGAAUUGCAGAAGUGAAUCAUCGAAUCUUUGAACGCACCUUGCGCUCCCGGCAGAUCUAAUCUGGGGAGCAUGCCUGUUUGAGGGCCGCGAAUUGUUUCGAACGACAGCUUUUUUUCUUUGUGAAAAAGUUGGCGGAUCGGUAUUGAGGGUUUGCCAUUUACCAUGGCUCCCUCGAAAUGCAUUAGCGCAUCCAUUUGAUAGGCAAGACGGACGAAAGCUCGAUUUUCGCCCUCUCUUCCCUGCCGGGUUUUGAUAAUAUCAGGACUUCGGAGGCGGAGAAAGGGUUAGAGCUGGACGCAACGUUUUGCUGUUUGGAGUGCUUCUGAAACCCGCCCAUGCCU